CAGGUGUGGUGGUGCAUGCCUGUAGUCCCAGCUACUCAGGAGACUGAGGCAGGAGGAUUACUUGAAUCCAGGAGUUCUGGCUAUAGUGCAUUAUGCCUAUUAUGUAGGUAUACUAAGUCUGCCAUCAGUCUGGUGACUUCCCUGAAGUAGGGGACCACCAGGUUGUCAAAAGAUAGGUGAACUGGCCCAGGUCAGAAAGGGAGCAGGUCAAAAGCCCCAUGCUUAUCAGAAAGUACAAAGACUAGAUUAGAACUACACUCUCCAAAGUUCCAAACUAGUUAGUGUAUUGU
RNAcentral lists this signal recognition particle RNA (290 nucleotides) under Castor canadensis (American beaver). Its description in RNAcentral is "Metazoan signal recognition particle RNA (ENSCCNG00000004048.1)". It matches the Rfam family "Metazoan signal recognition particle RNA". Rfam says of the family: The signal recognition particle (SRP) is a universally conserved ribonucleoprotein. It is involved in the co-translational targeting of proteins to membranes. The eukaryotic SRP consists of a 300-nucleotide 7S RNA and six proteins: SRPs 72, 68, 54, 19, 14, and 9. The record is from RNAcentral. Lineage: Eukaryota; Metazoa; Chordata; Mammalia; Rodentia; Castoridae.